Molecule: unclassified non-coding RNA, 350 nt
Filed under: soil metagenome
Description: partial contains 5.8S ribosomal RNA, internal transcribed spacer 2, and large subunit ribosomal RNA
Rfam family: 5.8S ribosomal RNA (bases 1-121)
Source: RNAcentral
GAUGAAGAAACGUAGUGAAAUGCGAUAACUAGUGUGAAUUGCAGAAUUCCGUGAAUCAUCGAGUCUUUGAACGCACAUUGCGCCCCCUGGUAUUCCGGGGGGCAUGCCUGUCCGAGCGUCAUUGCUGCCCAUCAAGCACGGCUUGUGUGUUGGGUCGUCGUCCCCUCUCCGGGGGGGACGGGCCCCAAAGGCAGCGGCGGCACCGCGUCCGAUCCUCGAGCGUAUGGGGCUUUGUCACCCGCUCUGUAGGCCCGGCCGGCGCUUGCCGAACGCAAAUCAAUCUUUUUCCAGGUUGACCUCGGAUCAGGUAGGGAUACCCGCUGAACUUAAGCAUAUCAAUAAGCGGAGGA